UACGUAGGGGUCUAGCGUUGUCCGGAAUCACUGGGCGUAAAGGGCGCGUAGGCGGCCGAUCAAGUCGGGGGUGAAAGCCUGUGGCUCAACCACAGAAUUGCCUUCGAUACUGUUUGGCUUGAGACCGGAAGAGGUUAGUGGAACUGCGAGUGUAGAGGUGAAAUUCGUAGAUAUUCGGAAGAACACCAGUGGCGAAGGCGGCUCACUGGCCCGGUACUGACGCUGAGGUGCGAAAGCGUGGGGAGCAAACAGG
This 253-nucleotide ribosomal RNA is filed under the name uncultured bacterium. Its description in RNAcentral is "partial 16S ribosomal RNA". It matches the Rfam family "Bacterial small subunit ribosomal RNA", at positions 524 to 776 of the family's 1533-position model. The record is from RNAcentral.